This 497-nucleotide ribosomal RNA is filed under the name uncultured bacterium. Its description in RNAcentral is "partial 16S ribosomal RNA". It matches the Rfam family "Bacterial small subunit ribosomal RNA", at positions 28 to 507 of the family's 1533-position model. The record is from RNAcentral.
GAUGAACGCUGGCGGCGUGCCUAAUACAUGCAAGUCGAGCGAACAGACGAGGCGUUUGUUCCUCUCACGUUAGCCGCGGACGGGUGUGAAACAUGUGUAUACCCUACCUAUAAUACUGAGAUAAUCUCGGGAAUCCGGAGCUUACACCGGAGAAUAUCUUGAAGCGUAUGGUGCAAUAGUGAAAGACGGCUUUGCUGGCACUUAUCGAUGCAUCCGGGCCGCUUUAGCUAGUUGGUAAGGUAACGGCUUAUCAAGGCAACCAUGCGUAGGCGAGGUGAGAGGGUGGUCGGCGACACUGGAGCUGAGACGCGGUCCAGAGUCCUACGGGAGGCAGCAGUAGGGAAUCUGCGGCAGUGGGGGAGAACCUGGCAGAGCAGCGCCGCGUGAGAGGUGAAGAUCUUCGGUUCGUGAAGCUCGGUUAUUGGGGGAGAACAGAUGUGUAAGGAAAUGUAGACGUCUUGACGGUACCUGGUCAAGAAGCCACGGCUAACUACGUG